GACGAACGCUGGCGGCGUGCUUAACACAUGCAAGUCGAGCGGAAAGGCCCUGCUUUUGUGGGGUGCUCGAGUGGCGAACGGGUGAGUAACACGUGAGUAACCUGCCCUUGACUUUGGGAUAACUUCAGGAAACUGGGGCUAAUACCGGAUAGGAGCUGCUGCUGCAUGGUGGGGGUUGGAAAGUUUCGGCGGUUGGGGAUGGACUCGCGGCUUAUCAGCUUGUUGGUGGGGUAGUGGCUUACCAAGGCUUUGACGGGUAGCCGGCCUGAGAGGGUGACCGGCCUCAUUGGGACUGAGGUACGGCCCAGACUCCUACGGUAGGCAGCAGGCGGGAAUAUUGCACAGUGGGCGGAAGCCUGAUGCAGCAACGCCGCGUUCGGGAUGACGGCCUUCGUGUUGUAAACCGCUUUCGCCUGUGACGAAGCGUGAGUGACGGUAAUGGGUAAAGAAGCACCGGCUAACUACGUG
RNAcentral lists this ribosomal RNA (468 nucleotides) under uncultured bacterium. RNAcentral describes it as "partial 16S ribosomal RNA". It matches the Rfam family "Bacterial small subunit ribosomal RNA", at positions 28 to 507 of the family's 1533-position model. The record is from RNAcentral.